UGGCCUAGAAAUGGCGGGGGCUUGGCUUGCCUGAGGACAUAAACUGUUGAUAUCCGAAGAGUCGCGUACCCUAAGAAAGAAAUUCCAUCAACCAUCGAAGUCAGUUCGGCUGGAUCGAUAGAAUAAGGAUAGCUAUUACCUAACUUGCUUGCAUUCCUCGCUUUCAGAUGAGGCGACCGACGGAAGGAAAGUUCAUCAAAUCCAUAACCCUAAACGAAGAAAACCAACGGAGAAAGAGAAAGAAAGCAAUACCGAAAUCAGAACUUGUUCGCAUAUUGUAUUCCGCUCGCGAAACUGGUGUUAUUUAAGGUUGGCUAACAGCUUUCCGGGCAUACUAAUAGAAAGGGAUAAUAUAUAAGGGAAGGAAUAGAAAGGGAUAAUAUAUAAGGGAAGGCUAUCUCUGGAGGAAAUCAAAUAAUAAGGAAGCUACCAGACCAGACCCCAGGUAAAGAUAAGGUACAAUGCUCGAUGAACGAUCUAACAAGAGAGCAUAUGAAAGGAAAGAUCAUUCGUCCGGGGAAUAUAAAUAGAAGGUAGCUGUAAGGGAAUAAGCGAUGGAUAAAGCAUUGAUGAGGGAAUAAGCGAUGGAUAAAGCAUUGAUGAGCAAUCCAAUCUAGGCGGAAGAGAAUCAACCUGUCUGUUACCUUCUAUCGGUAUUUAUGAAGACGCCUAUUCUUGACAAAAAGGGAAAGUCCGGAACACAAACACUGGUUACAAGAUCGAAAUCCAAAAUAGUUCCCUGGUUCCGGGCACAGCAACGAUUAGGGGUAAGUCUAGAGUUCCCUGCUGGCUCUGUAAAGUGUAUAAGGAAGGCAAAGUGUAUCACUGAGAGAGGGGAGCUCCUGAGAUUCUAUGGUAGUCAGGUACCAGUUUGCUGUUACUUAGAAAUAGGAGGAUUAGGGAAUAUAAGGAAGAAAUAGGAGGAUUUGUAUUUGCACAAUGAAUAUAAGGAAGAAAUAGGAGGAUUUGUAUUUGCACAAUGAAUAUAAGGAAUCAAGCCGAUCUUUUUAUUGCGAGAUGAAGCAGAUAUGGCGCGUGGUCCGAGUCAGGGUUACCCUUAUCCUAGUUAAUCUAUGGUAUGUGAUAGCUAACUGUUUAGGGCGGACUUCCCCCAAGGUUGACGGCGAGAAGUCGACGACACUAAAC
RNAcentral lists this long non-coding RNA (1146 nucleotides) under Musa acuminata (dwarf banana). RNAcentral's name for it is "long non-coding RNA (MACU_LNC007450)". The record is from RNAcentral. Lineage: Eukaryota; Viridiplantae; Streptophyta; Magnoliopsida; Zingiberales; Musaceae.